RNAcentral lists this ribosomal RNA (406 nucleotides) under uncultured bacterium. RNAcentral describes it as "partial 16S ribosomal RNA". It matches the Rfam family "Bacterial small subunit ribosomal RNA", at positions 30 to 526 of the family's 1533-position model. The record is from RNAcentral.
AUUGAACGCUGGCGGCCGGCCUAACACAUGCAAGUCGAACGAGUGGCGGACGGGUGUGUAAUGUCUGUGACACUGCCUGAUGGAGGGGGAUAACUACUGGAAACGGUAUCUAAUACCGCAUACCCUCCGAUUUGCCCAGAUGGGAUUAGCUAGUUGGUGGGGUAACGGCUCACCAAGGCGACGAUCCCUAGCUGGUCUGAGAGGAUGACCAGCCACACUGGAAAUGGGACAAGGGCCAGACGCCGACGGGAGGCAGUAGGGGGGAAGAUGGCAGAAUGGGUGAAAGCCUGAUGCAGCCAUGCCGCGUGUAGGAAGAAGUCAUUCGGUUUGCAAAGUACUUUCAGUGGUGAGGCGUUACACGUAGAAGAAGCACCGGCUAACGCCGUGCCAGCCGCCGCGGUAAGAC